Long non-coding RNA from Anthonomus grandis grandis, 946 nucleotides. RefSeq lists it as uncharacterized. The record is from RefSeq and is a predicted model, not a curated record. The transcript has 2 exons. Lineage: Eukaryota; Metazoa; Arthropoda; Insecta; Coleoptera; Curculionidae.
UUUUUUAACAAAAAAUCUAUAGUUAUUUAUAUCUUUUAUACAAUGAGGUAAACUAUUAAAUGUUUUAAUUGCAUCUGUAAUUGGAUUUCUUAAACCUAUGUUAGUUCUUGUAGAAACUUGAUAAACAUUAUUUAGUGAUCUUGUUUGAUGAUUAUGUACAUUAUGGUAAAACAUAAUAUUUAUGUUACUUUUUUGUCUGUUGUUUAUAAUUUUAUAUACAAGUUUACAUUGUUCUAUCUCCAAUAUCACUUUUAAUUUGUUUAAACUUAAAUUUGAAUAAAUUGUAUUAGAACUUGUAAGCCAAUCAAAAUUAAACAAAAUUUUCAAAAUUUUAUUUUGCAAAAUUUGAGCCUUAUUAAAAUUAACUUCACCGCACAUACCCCAUACUGGCAAGAGGUACCUAAAAUGUGUGAGAAAGAAGGCAUUAUAAAUUUGAAAUUUACUUUUUUCAGACAAAUAAUCUCUACUCCUAUAUAAGGCAGAUAGCAUUGGAACUGUUUUAUCAAAAAUUUUGUUUAAGUGUAGUGACCAAUUUAAAUUUUCAUCUAUUUGCAAACCUAAAUAUUUAAUAUUCGACACUUUUUCUAAUAUUACAGUAUUAAUAUUAAUAUUUAGAUUAUUGCUGACUGACUUAUUUUUUUGUUUGAAUAUCAUGUAUUUGGUUUUCUCAAUGUUAAUUUUUAAUUUAUUUGAAAACAGCCAUUUAAGAUAACAUUUUAGGUCAUUAUUAAUAAGUUGUGUUAAAGAAGUUUCAUCUGUUCCAGCAUAUACCAGUACAGUGUCAUCUGCAAAGGUCUAUGAAGACAGCUAUAACUAUUUGUUGUUUAUCUAAUGCCAUUGAAAUACAGUCUACAAAAUCCACAACCGCACCAAGUGUACUACUGUUCUUUAUAAAGCCAUAUUGAUAUUUAUCAUUCAAUAGAUUGCAAGAGUUAAUGAAAGAUAA